UUUCCAGUCCUAACGGCUCCUUCAGUUUUCAAAUUUCUCGUUGAUGAAGUGGAAGACGAAACAGCGGCGUCUGAAGGCUCACUGUCAUUCACAAGUGGCUCCAGUCUGGUUUGGGGGUUCUGCCAUCCAAGUAAAGUUAUUCACAAGUGGCUCCAGUCUGGUUUGGGGGUCUACGCUUUCUCAUCCUGUCCUGCCACCCAAGUGAAGUUAUUCACAAGUGGCUCCAGUCUGGUUUGGGGGUCUAAGCUUUCUCAUCCUGUCCUGCCACCCAAGUGAAGUUAUUCACACAAGUGGCUCCAGUCUGGUUUGGGGGUCUACGCUUUCUCAUCCUGUCCUGCCACCCAAGUGAAGUUAUUCACAAGUGGCUCCAGUCUGGUUUGGGGGUCUACGCUUUCUCAUCCUGUCCUGCCACCCAAGUGAAGU
Long non-coding RNA from Sardina pilchardus (European sardine), 423 nucleotides. RefSeq lists it as uncharacterized. The transcript is spliced from 6 exons. NCBI's taxonomy places the organism in Eukaryota, Metazoa, Chordata, Actinopteri, Clupeiformes, Clupeidae. The record is from RefSeq and is a predicted model, not a curated record.